This 3837-nucleotide ribosomal RNA is filed under the name Triticum aestivum (bread wheat). RNAcentral describes it as "partial small subunit ribosomal RNA". Lineage: Eukaryota; Viridiplantae; Streptophyta; Magnoliopsida; Poales; Poaceae. The record is from RNAcentral.
AUGGGAGGGAGGGGGAGGGAGCAAGGCGGGGAGAGGGACGACGUCAACGGCGGAGGAGAGGACGGAGCUGACGGACAUGAGAGGAGGCCCGCGGCGCCGCGCGUGCCGCUCUACCGGAUGUUCGCCUUCGCGGACAGGACGGACGCGGCGCUCAUGGCGGUGGGCGCGGCCACGGCGGUGGCCAACGGGAUGGCGCAGCCGCUCAUGACCUUCAUCUUCGGCGACGUCAUCGACGCCUUCGGCUCCGCCGCCUCGUCGCGGGACGUCCUGCACAGGGUCACCAAGGUGAUCAUUAACUUCGUUUAUCUUGGUAUUGGAGCAGGACUUGCUUCAACACUUCAGGUAUCAUGCUGGACAAUUACUGGAGAAAGACAGGCAGCAAGAAUCAGAGCUAUGUAUCUCAAGGCGAUUCUCAGACAGGACAUUGCUUUUUUUGACAAGGAAAUGAGCACUGGACAAGUUGUUGAGAGGAUGUCUGGGGACACAUUCCUCAUUCAAGAUGCCAUUGGAGAAAAGGUUGGCAAGAUCAUACAGCUCCUUUCUACCUUUUUUGGAGGCUUCAUUGUUGCAUUUGUGAGAGGAUGGCUCUUGACACUUGUCAUGCUCUCAAGCAUCCCUCCAGUAGCCGUGGCCGGUGCUAUUGUGUCAAGGAUGAUGACAACGUUGUCCACUAAAAUGCAAGCAAAAUAUGGUGAUGCUGGAGACAUUGUUGAGCAAACUAUUGGGACCAUUCGAACGGUUGUCUCAUUCAAUGGUGAGAAGCAAGCUAUAACAACAUAUAACAAGUUCAUAAGAAAAGCAUAUGAGUCUGCUCGUCGAGAAGGUGCUGUCAGUGGCCUUGGAGUGGGUUCAAUAAUGGCAAUCUUGUUUUGCAGCUAUGGGUUGGCAGUUUGGUAUGGAUCUAAAUUGAUAGUCGACCGAGGAUAUAAUGGUGGCAUAGUUAUUACUAUUAUAAUGUCCGUCAUGGUUGGCGCAAUGUCCUUAGGUCAGGCAGCACCAUCAAUAACAGCUUUUGCACAAGGUCAAGGAGCAGCAUAUAGAAUGUUCAAGACAAUUGAAAGACAACCAUGUAUUGAUGUAUAUAACACCACAGGUAUCAUAUUGGAAGACAUCAAGGGUGAUGUUGAACUGAAGGAUGUCUACUUCAGCUAUCCUACCAGGCCUGAACAUUUGGUAUUUGAUGGAUUCUCCUUACUGGUACCAAGUGGAACUACAAUGGCACUAGUUGGAGUGAGCGGUAGUGGAAAGUCAACUGUCGUCAGUUUGGUGGAGAGAUUCUACGAUCCACAGUCUGGGGAAGUCUUGAUAGAUGGAGUUGACAUUAGAAGAAUGACUCUUGGGUGGAUAAGAGGAAAAAUCGGUCUCGUCAGCCAAGAACCAGUAUUGUUCUCGAGUACGAUCAGGGAAAAUAUUUCCUAUGGGAAGGAUGAUCUUAAUCUCGAAGAGAUCAGAAGAGCAAUCGAGCUUGCAAAUGCAGCAAACUUCAUUGAUAAACUGCCAAAUGGUCUUGAGACAAUGGUUGGGGAACGUGGAAUUCAGCUGUCUGGAGGGCAGAAGCAAAGAAUAGCAAUUGCUAGAGCGAUUAUAAAAAACCCUAGGAUAUUGCUACUUGAUGAAGCAACCAGCGCGCUGGAUAUGGAAUCUGAGAGGGUCGUUCAAGAAGCUUUGGAUAGGGUAAUGUUAGAAAGGACUACAAUCAUUGUUGCACACCGCCUAAGCACAGUAAAGAACGCUGAUGUCAUAUCUGUCCUACAACACGGGAAGAUUGUGGAACAAGGUUCACAUGUAGAACUGGUGAACAAACCUGAAGGUGCAUACUCUCAGCUGAUUCAUCUGCAAGAGACUCUGCAGGUAGCAGAAGCCCCUAAUGUCGAUCCUGAUGCGAUAAUGGAAAACAGUUUUGGCUCUAGGUCGUUCACAAGGAAACCAAGAAGCCAAGGUAGCUCCUUUAGAAGAUCAACCAGUAAAGGCUCCUCUUUUGGGCACAGUGGUACACAUCCUUACCCUGCUCCAUGUGAUCCCAUGGAAUUCAACAAUGAUCAAGACCUAGAGGAGAGUGCAGAUAAAAUAUCUAGUGACAGAAAGAAAGCUCCAAUCGGCCGACUCUUUUAUCUGAACAAACCAGAGGCUCUUGUUCUUGCUCUUGGUUCGGUUGCUGCUGCAAUGCACGGGGCCAUUUUGCCUGUAUAUGGCAUAUUGAUUUCAAGUGCAAUAAAGACGUUUUAUGAGCCGCCAGCAGAACUACUCAAGGACUCGAGGUUCUGGGCAAGCAUGUUUGCCAUGCUGGGUGCUUGUGCGCUUGUUCUGAUUCCAAUAGAGUACUUCUUGUUUGGAUUAGCAGGUGGGAAGCUUGUGGAGCGCAUACGGUCGCUGACAUUCCGAAGUGUCAUGCACCAGGAUAUCAACUGGUUUGAUAAACCUGAACACUCUAGUGGAGCAAUAGGUGCAAGGCUAUCGACUGAUGCUCUGAACGUGAAGCGGCUUGUUGGAGAAAAUUUAGCACUUAAUGUCCAGACUAUAUCGACCAUCAUAGUAGGUUUCGCAAUAGCUAUGGUGGCAAACUGGAAGCUGGCAUUGAUUAUCACAGUGGUGGUUCCAUUGGUGGGUUUCCAAGCCUAUGCUCAAAUGAAGUUCCUGAAAGGUCUCAAUAAAAAUGCAAAGUUAAAGUAUGAGGAAGCAAGUCAAGUAGCAACCGACGCCGUUGGAGGAAUCAGAACCGUGGCGUCGUUUUGCGCAGAGCAGAAGGUGAUGGAUGCCUAUGAAAAGAAAUGUGAAUCUCCAACAAGGCAGGGAGUGAGGGAAGGUGUUGUUGGUGGCUUGGGAUUUGGGUUUUCAUUCCUUAUGUUCUACCUUACUUAUGCUCUCUGCUUCUACGUCGGUGCAAAGUUUGUUCAUGAAGGAACGGCAACAUUUCCUGAAGUGUUUCGGGUCUUCUUCGUAUUAGUUUUGGCGGCUACUGGGAUCUCACGAACAAGCGCAGUAGGUGCAGAUAGCACCAAGGCUAGUGAAUCGGCCAUCUCCGUGUUCGAAAUUCUUGACCGUAAGUCCAAGAUAGAUUCCAGCAGCGAGGAGGGCAUGGUGGUUGCAAAUCUCAGGGGUGACAUUGAGUUCCAGAAUGUGUGCUUCAGUUACCCCUUACGCCCUAAUGUUCAAAUAUUCACUGAUCUGUCCUUGAUCAUUCCUUCUGGAAAGACAGCUGCCCUUGUUGGAGAGAGUGGAAGUGGGAAGUCCACCGCCAUUGCGCUGCUCGAGAGGUUCUACGACCCGAGUUCAGGCAGGAUCCUUUUUGACGGCGUGGAGCUUCCGACCCUCAAAGUCAGCUGGCUUCGGCUACAGAUCGGGCUCGUGGCGCAAGAGCCAGUGCUGUUCAACGACACCAUCCGCGCCAACAUAGCCUACGGAAAGCAAGGGGAGGCCUCCGAAGAAGAGAUUGUGGCCGCCGCUGAAGCAGCCAACGCGCACCAGUUCAUCUCCGGGCUGCCUGAUGGGUACAACACCAUCGUCGGUGAGCGGGGGAUCCAGCUGUCCGGCGGGCAGAAGCAACGGGUCGCCAUCGCGAGGGCCGUCAUCAAGGACCCCAAGAUGCUCCUGCUGGACGAGGCAACGAGUGCUCUGGACGCCGAGUCGGAGCGCGUGGUGCAGGAGGCGCUGGACCGGGUGAUGGUCGGGAGGACGACCGUGGUGGUGGCGCAUCGCCUGUCGACUGUGAGAGGCGCCGACAUUAUCAGCGUCGUGAAGAACGGGACGAUAGUGGAGAAAGGAAGGCAUGAAGAACUGAUGCGGAUGAAGGAUGGAGCCUACGCUUCCCUUGUCGAGCUUAGCUCCACUUCAAGAUAA